GUAACGCGUGGGAACCUACCUAGUAGUUCGGAAUAGCCUCGGGAAACUGGGAUUAAUACCGGAUACGCCCUCAGGGGGGAAAGAUUUAUCGCUAUUAGAUGGGCCCGCGUUAGAUUAGCUAGUUGGUGGGGUAAUGGCCUACCAAGGCGACGAUCCAUAGCUGGUCUGAGAGGAUGAUCAGCCACACUGGGACUGAGACACGGCCCAGACUCCUACGGGAGGCAGCAGUGGGGAAUAUUGGACAAUGGGCGAAAGCCUGAUCCAGCAAUGCCGCGUGAGUGAUGAAGGCCUUAGGGUUGUAAAGCUCUUUUACCAGGGAUGAUAAUGACAGUACCUGGAGAAUAAGCUCCGGCUAACUCCGUGCCAGCAGCCGCGGUAAUACGGAGGGUG
This 390-nucleotide ribosomal RNA is filed under the name Stygamoeba regulata. RNAcentral describes it as "partial Bacterial small subunit ribosomal RNA". It matches the Rfam family "Bacterial small subunit ribosomal RNA", at positions 110 to 534 of the family's 1533-position model. The record is from RNAcentral. Lineage: Eukaryota; Discosea; Stygamoebida.